AUUGAACGCUGGCGGCAUGCUUUACACAUGCAAGUCGAACGGUAACAGGGUGCUUGCACCGCUGACGAGUGGCGAACGGGUGAGUAAUGCAUCGGAAUGUACCGUGUAAUGGGGGAUAGCUCGGCGAAAGCCGGAUUAAUACCGCAUACGCCCUGAGGGGGAAAGUGGGGGACCGAAAGGCCUCACGUUAUACGAGCAGCCGAUGUCUGAUUAGCUAGUGGGUGAGGUAAAGGCUCACCAAGGCGUCGAUCAGUAGCGGGUCUGAGAGGAUGAUCCGCCACACUGGGACUGAGACACGGCCCAGACUCCUACGGGAGGCAGCAGUGGGGAAUUUUGGACAAUGGGCGCAAGCCUGAUCCAGCCAUGCCGCGUGUCUGAAGAAGGCCUUCGGGUUGUAAAGGACUUUUGUCCGGGAGCAAAUCCUAGUGGUUAAUAACCGCUGGGUCUGAGAGUACCGGAAGAAUAAGCACCGGCUAACUACGUG
Molecule: ribosomal RNA, 484 nt
Filed under: uncultured bacterium
Lineage: Bacteria
Description: partial 16S ribosomal RNA
Rfam family: Bacterial small subunit ribosomal RNA
Source: RNAcentral